RNAcentral lists this ribosomal RNA (264 nucleotides) under uncultured bacterium. RNAcentral's name for it is "partial 16S ribosomal RNA". It matches the Rfam family "Bacterial small subunit ribosomal RNA", at positions 90 to 354 of the family's 1533-position model. The record is from RNAcentral.
ACUGAGCGGCGGACGGGUGAGUAACGCGUGGGCAACCUGCCUCAUACAGGGGGAUAACAGUUAGAAAUGACUGCUAAUACCGCAUAAGACCGCGGUACCGCAUGGUACAGCGGUAAAAACUCCGGUGGUAUGAGAUGGGCCCGCGUCUGAUUAGCUAGUUGGCGGGGUAACGGCCCACCAAGGCGACGAUCAGUAGCCGACCUGAGAGGGUGACCGGCCACAUUGGGACUGAGACACGGCCCAAACUCCUACGGAAGGCAGCAG